Non-coding RNA from Pelobates cultripes (western spadefoot toad), 471 nucleotides. The record is from the annotation of a GenBank genome assembly. NCBI's taxonomy places the organism in Eukaryota, Metazoa, Chordata, Amphibia, Anura, Pelobatidae.
CUUAGAUACAUUGCUGGAGGUUGUGUUUGUAGAUUACCCAGGUAUUUGUUGUAGAGUAUAGGUUGUAGAGUCCAACUUUCCAAAUAUUUGGCUAGAAUUGGUUGCAGAUAUUGAAUCAGCAUCAUCUGUUAUCACCGUGGUGAUGGCGUUGGUAUUUGUCUUUGCCUUUUGUCUCUGCUUUUUAUUUUGUUUGUUUUUUCCAUGAAACAUUUUUACACCGUUUAUGAUGUGUAUAGAUUGGAUACUCUCUGAUAUUCUUUUACGGAAUAAAUUAAUUGACAGCAUUUCCAAGACAUUGUCUUAAGUGACAUGGAUCCCGUUAUAGUAAAUGUUAUGUUGAUACAGCAAUCGAAGUGGAUUCUCAGGAACACCUCUUUUUGCUGUAUUGGAAUCUUUGUAACAUCUCAGUGAUAGACAACUCACUGACAUCAGGUGCUGUUGUGCAAAAAAUGUUAACAGGUAAAAUCUGUG